This 806-nucleotide ribosomal RNA is filed under the name uncultured bacterium. RNAcentral's name for it is "bacterial SSU rRNA". It matches the Rfam family "Bacterial small subunit ribosomal RNA", at positions 97 to 913 of the family's 1533-position model. The record is from RNAcentral.
GGCGAACGGGUGAGUAACGCGUGAGUAACCUGCCCUUCACUCUGGGAUAACAGUUGGAAACGGCUGCUAAUGCCGGAUAUUCAGCUCCUGUCGCAUGGUGGGGGUUGGAAAGUUUUGGUGGUGGAGGAUGGGCUCGCGUCCUAUCAGCUUGUUGGUGGGGUGAUGGCCAACCAAGGCGUCGACGGGUAGCCGGCCUGAGAGGGCGACCGGCCACAUUGGGACUGAGAUACGGCCCAAACUCCUACGGGAGGCAGCAGUGGGGAAUAUUGCACAAUGGGCGGAAGCCUGAUGCAGCAACGCCGCGUGCGGGAUGACGGCCUUCGGGUCGUAAACCGCUUUCAGCAGGGACGAAGCGCAAGUGACGGUACCUGCAGAAGAAGCACCGGCUAACUACGUGCCAGCAGCCGCGGUGAUACGUAGGGUGCGAGCGUUGUCCGGAUUUAUUGGGCGUAAAGAGCUUGUAGGCGGUUGGUUGCGUCGAAAGUGCAAACUCAGGGCUUAACUCUGAGCCUGCUUUCGAUACGGGCUGACUGGAGGAAGGUAGGGGAGAAUGGAAUUCCCGGUGGAGCGGUGGAAUGCGCAGAUAUCGGGAGGAACACCAGUGGCGAAGGCGGUUCUCUGGACCUUUCCUGACGCUGAGAAGCGAAAGCGUGGGGAGCAAACAGGCUUAGAUACCCUGGUAGUCCACGCUGUAAACGGUGGGUACUAGGUGUGGGGGACAUUCCACGUUCUCUGUGCCGUAGCUAACGCAUUAAGUACCCCGCCUGGGGAGUACGGGCCGCAAGGCUAAAACUCAAAGGAAUUGA